This 1544-nucleotide long non-coding RNA is filed under the name Meleagris gallopavo (turkey). Its description in RNAcentral is "lncRNA (ENSMGAG00000022434.1)". Lineage: Eukaryota; Metazoa; Chordata; Aves; Galliformes; Phasianidae. The record is from RNAcentral.
AACUGGAGUUGUAAAUCUGAUAUAUAGGACUUACUAGGUGAGACAUUUUCAAGGCUGAGAGUGUGUUUUCUAAAACAGUUGAAAUAAGCAAAGCAGAAAUUCUGCGGAAAGUCAAGAGAAUUUCUCUAUUUCAUUAUUACUCUGCUACAAUGCUGCAUUCUUGAGCUGCUAAAAUGGUUUUUCUACGAAUAGCUUAAAACUGUUAGUAAUUGUUCACGUAUGAUUUUCACCUUUUGCUCACAAGUCUGGAGAAUGCUCCUUUUGUUAUGACAGCAGAAUAAAAUCUAAUCUUUUCUUUCUAAUAGAUGCAGCAACAAGAACUUGCACAAAUGAGACAGAGAGAUGCCAAUCUAACUGCAUUGGCAGCUAUUGGUCCCCGGAAGAAACGGAAACUUGAUUCACCUGGACUGCUUACCAUAGGAGGAGAGGGGAAAAACACCAGUCAGUAGGAUUGCCAUGCUCUGACAAAUCUUUGGGAUAUUUCCUCACCUUUUUGGGACUAAGGUAGUUUUAUGGCACCCACUUUAAAAAAUAAUUGGAAUGACUUGUUCUACAACUCAAGUAUCAGCUUGGUCUUCAUGUCUGUACAGUUGGCUCUUGAUAAAUAACUUUUUAAGUGGUCAAAAUAUGUUUAGAAAGUGGUUGAAUCUAAAGAACCUUUAUACUGGUUAAGCUUGAGUUAUGUGAAAGCAGAUACAAUAGACCAUAAUGCCUUUUGCAAGUGUUUAUGGUCCAAGAAGUUACAACUUUUCACGCUUUUAAGCCUGUAGACUAACAGCAGAACAGGAAACUUUUUUGUGAUUUAUUGUGUCAUUGUCCUUUCAAGCACUGUUGCUCCAUGCAUCACUGACAUGAUAGAAUGCAGUAGAUAUCACAGUCCUGUUUUGGUGUAGGAUGUCACUCCUGCAGAUAGUUGUAAUUUCCCUUUUAGAUGUAGCAGGCUAUCAGUUAAAAAAAUACAGGUUUGAAUUUUCAGGUAGACAGAAUGUAGUUGAACAGUAUGUCCUUAUUGCUCUUUUAUGGAGUUAAAUGCAUACAUCUUUGUGAAGCUUUGAAAUUUCCAAGUUCAGUUCAGUUUUUGUGGCUUGUUUUGCUUGUUGUUUUCAAAACUCAAAAUACAUAAUAUCAUCAUUCACAGUAAAUAUAUUAAUAUCUAUUUGAAAACCAGUCUUUUAAAAUACUUUACAGAUAUUAUCCUAACUAAUUAUUGUACCUAUAUUUUUCUCGUUCUUAAAUAAAUGAGAUUUCAAAUAAUUUACCCCAGUGAUGAAUUACUGUAUUUCAGAUUUAAUUUCAAAUAGUGUUCUUGUCCAUCAGGAAUAUUUAAAAAUACAUAUAAUUGUGGUUUUAUUUUGUGAAAAGAAUUUGUGAGCAUUAACACAUUUCACAGACUUGGUAAUAGAAAGUAGGAAUGUCUUAAAUAGGAGGGGCAAUGCCAACUUUUUGUUGAUGAUUUAUACAUUCACUGCAAAUUAGAAUUAUUAGCAUACAUUGUGCCUGUUGCAAACAGGUAGAAAUAUGGUGAAUAAGAAGGCAGAAUGAUU